AAGUCGUAACAAGGUUUCCGUAGGUGAACCUGCGGAAGGAUCAUUAACACGGUCGUACUCGUACGUCCGUUAGAAAAAGCAGCAUCCCUGGUAAAUCAUCGCCGAACAGUUUUCGAUUCAGGGACGUCUGCAAGGAGCGUGCAUGUUGUGCGAGCAAGUGGCCUGGCAUCCCCAAGCAGUUAGUGUCUGAAAGUGUCAUUAACUGUGUAAGGAUGACGCAGUCACGAUCGUUGGAGGCCCACACGGCCGACGACCGGGUCACUGGGCGCAAGCCCCCCUAUAACAAACGCUGCUAAGCGCGGCCGCGAUAAUACGCAGUCGACCAAAAACCGAACAACUGUUAACAAUGGAUAUCUUGGUUCUC
This 364-nucleotide unclassified non-coding RNA is filed under the name fungal sp. Its description in RNAcentral is "partial internal transcribed spacer region". The stretch from base 1 to 46 matches the Rfam family "Eukaryotic small subunit ribosomal RNA", at positions 1786 to 1831 of the family's 1831-position model. Lineage: Eukaryota; Fungi. The record is from RNAcentral.